AGUGAACGCUGGCGGUAGGCCUAACACAUGCAAGUCGAACGGCAGCACAGUAAGAGCUUGCUCUUACGGGUGGCGAGUGGCGGACGGGUGAGGAAUACAUCGGAAUCUACUUUUUCGUGGGGGAUAACGUAGGGAAACUUACGCUAAUACCGCAUACGACCUACGGGUGAAAGCAGGGGAUCUUCGGACCUUGCGCGAUUGAAUGAGCCGAUGUCGGAUUAGCUAGUUGGCGGCGUAAAGGCCCACCAAGGCGACGAUCCGUAGCUGGUCUGAGAGGAUGACACGCCACAUGGGAACGGAAACAGGGCCCAGACCACGACGGGAGGAACAAGGGGGGAAUAUUGGACAAUGGGGGCAAGCCUGAUCCAGCAAUGCGGCGGGGGGGAAGAAGGCCUCGGGUUGGUAAAGCCUUUUUUUGGGGAAAGAAAAGCAGCAGGUUAAUACCCGGUUGUUGUGAGGGUACCAAAAGAAUAAGACCCGGCUAACUUCGUG
This 492-nucleotide ribosomal RNA is filed under the name uncultured bacterium. Its description in RNAcentral is "partial 16S ribosomal RNA". It matches the Rfam family "Bacterial small subunit ribosomal RNA", at positions 29 to 507 of the family's 1533-position model. The record is from RNAcentral.